Molecule: long non-coding RNA, 84 nt
Organism: Pipistrellus kuhlii (Kuhl's pipistrelle)
Lineage: Eukaryota; Metazoa; Chordata; Mammalia; Chiroptera; Vespertilionidae
Exons: 3
Source: RefSeq, a predicted model, not a curated record
ACUGUGCUAUUCCGAACUGGAAAUCCUGGUAGGUCAUAUAUAAACAGCCUGAGGCAGGAACCUCUUCAUCUGAUAGAGUAGGAC